Molecule: transfer RNA, 66 nt
Filed under: Tegrolcinia mirotibialis
Lineage: Eukaryota; Metazoa; Arthropoda; Insecta; Orthoptera; Tettigoniidae
Description: tRNA-Tyr
Rfam family: tRNA
About the family: Transfer RNA (tRNA) molecules are approximately 80 nucleotides in length. Their secondary structure includes four short double-helical elements and three loops (D, anti-codon, and T loops).
Source: RNAcentral
GGUAGAAUGGCUGAAUAUAGGCGGUAAAUUGUAAAUUUAUUAAUGGGAAUUGAAUCCCUUCUAUUA